AGCGGAGGAAAAGAAACUAAAUAGGAUUCCCUCAGUAACGGCGAGUGAACUGGGAAAUGUCCAUCGCUAAAUCAUUUUGCAUCAAACAUCAUGAGGUGUAGCGUAUAAGCCGUGAUCUUUGAUCAGUUAUCUCAAACAAGUCCUCUUGACAGAGGUUCCAAAGAAGGUGCAAGUCCUGUACAUUGGGAUAACUGAUUGAUAUUUGCGUACUUUAGAGUCGGGUUGCUUGGGAUCGCAGCCCAAAGUCGGUGGUAAACUUCAUCUAAGACUUAAUAUUGCCACGAGUCCGAUAGCAAACAAGUACUGUGAAGGAAAGUUGCAAAGCACUUUGAAGAGAGAGUUAAAGAGGACGUGAAACCGGUGAGGAGGAAACGGAUAGAGUCGGCGUAUCUUGCAAGUAUUCAAUUACUUUAUUAUUGUGUUGUUAUCUCUGAGCUCCAGAUUGGGACAGAGGAAAGCAGCAUGAUUUAAUGUGAUGCAUUUACUUGUCUGGUGUGUGGGGGUAUCUAAGAUGGAUUUGCAACCAAUGUUUUGAGGCCAGCUUGCUGGUACCCAAACAUUGUUAACAUUUUUUAUCUUGGAUAUUCGAGUACGGCUUACGUGCAUUUUUUGUAUUGAUCUAAGUGCAAGUUACGGUCGCAUGCGACACGUGCUUUUCAUUUAGUUCGGUGCAGUUAAUGCUCUCGUACUCUCCCCCCAUGUAAAAGCCGGUCAUCUAUUUGACCCGUCUUGAAACACGGACCAAGGAGUUUAUCGUGUGCGCAAGUUUUUGGGUGUUAAAAACCUAGAAGCGAAAUGAAAGUAAAUGAUUCUUUAGAGUCUGAUGUGCAAUCUUUUUUCAGAAAAGUGCAUCAUGGCCCCAUUCUAACUGUUUACAGUAGGGUGGCGGAAGAGCGUACGCGGUGAGACCCGAAAGAUGGUGAACUAUUCCUGAGCAGGACGAAGCCAGAGGAAACUCUGGUGGAAGUCCGAAGCGGUUCUGACGUGCAAAUCGAUCGUCUGACUUGGGUAUAGGGGCGAAAGACUAAUCGAACCUUCUAGUA
This 1043-nucleotide ribosomal RNA is filed under the name Meloidogyne hapla. Its description in RNAcentral is "LSU rRNA". It matches the Rfam family "Eukaryotic large subunit ribosomal RNA", at positions 49 to 949 of the family's 3401-position model. The record is from RNAcentral. Lineage: Eukaryota; Metazoa; Nematoda; Chromadorea; Rhabditida; Meloidogynidae.